GACGAACGCUGGCGGCGUGCUUAACACAUGCAAGUCGAACGGUAAGGCCCUUCGGGGUACACGAGUGGCGAACGGGUGAGUAACACGUGGGUGAUCUGCCCUGCACUUCGGGAUAAGCCUGGGAAACUGGGUCUAAUACCGGAUAGGACUCCGGACUGCAUGGUCUGGGGUGGAAAGCUUUUGCGGUGUGGGAUGGGCCCGCGGCCUAUCAGCUUGUUGGUGGGGUGAUGGCCUACCAAGGCGACGACGGGUAGCCGGCCUGAGAGGGUGACCGGCCAGACUGGGACUGAGAUACGGCCCAGACUCAUACGGGAGGCAGCAGCGGGGAAUAUUGCACAAUGGGCGCAAGCCUGAUGCAGCGACGCCGCGUGGGGGAUGACGGCCUUCGGGCUGUAAACCUCUUUCAGCACAGACGAAGCGCAAGUGACGGUAUGUGCAGAAGAAGGACCGGCCAACUACGUGCCAGCCGCCGCGGUAA
This 478-nucleotide ribosomal RNA is filed under the name uncultured bacterium. RNAcentral describes it as "partial 16S ribosomal RNA". It matches the Rfam family "Bacterial small subunit ribosomal RNA", at positions 28 to 523 of the family's 1533-position model. The record is from RNAcentral.